ACUCUUCACUAGGAGUACUCUGGUCAGAGUUUUACUAAAUUGAAAUACGGUGAUGCAUCAUCUCUAAUUUUACUUAGAAUGGUCAAUCCCAUCUUGACUCAUACUCAGACUUCAUAAGUACUUGACUGUACCUAAAAAUCCUUCAUCUUUGAAUUAAAAAUUCGGAUAGUCCAGCAUCAAAGCAUAGUGAGUUGCUUGUAAGUCACCGAGGCAGCCU
RNAcentral lists this long non-coding RNA (217 nucleotides) under Elaeis guineensis (African oil palm). RNAcentral's name for it is "long non-coding RNA (EGUI_LNC047903)". The record is from RNAcentral. Lineage: Eukaryota; Viridiplantae; Streptophyta; Magnoliopsida; Arecales; Arecaceae.